Molecule: unclassified non-coding RNA, 301 nt
Filed under: uncultured fungus
Lineage: Eukaryota; Fungi
Description: partial contains small subunit ribosomal RNA, internal transcribed spacer 1, and 5.8S ribosomal RNA
Rfam family: Eukaryotic small subunit ribosomal RNA (bases 1-73)
Source: RNAcentral
GCAAACUUGGUCAUUUAGAGGAAGUAAAAGUCGUAACAAGGUUUCCGUAGGUGAACCUGCGGAGGGAUCAUUACAAGAGAGUUGAGAGACUCGAAAACCCUUUGUGAACAUACCUGAUUAUCAUGUUGCUCUGGCAGGCGGCCCCUGGGAGGGGCCUCCGCCGCCCGGUCAGUAAACCGGGUGCCUGCCAGACGACACACUUAAAUUCUAUAGUAUCACAAUUUUAUCUGAGACUAAAAACAAAUUAGUUAAAACUUUCAACAACGGAUCUCUUGGUUCUGGCAUCGAUGAAGAACGCAGC